GACGAACGCCGGCGGCGUGCUUAACACAUGCAAGUCGAACGGAAAGGCCCUGCUUUUGUGGGGUGCUCGAGUGGCGAACGGGUGAGUAACACGUGAGUAACCUGCCCUUGACUUUGGGAUAACUUCAGGAAACUGGGGCUAAUACCGGAUAGGAGCUCCUGCUGCAUGGUGGGGGUUGGAAAGUUUCGGCGGUUGGGGAUGGACUCGCGGCUUAUCAGCUUGUUGGUGGGGUAGUGGCUUACCAAGGCUUUGACGGGUAGCCGGCCUGAGAGGGUGACCGGCCACAUUGGGACUGAGAUACGGCCCAGACUCCUACGGGAGGCAGCAGUGGGGAAUAUUGCACAAUGGGCGGAAGCCUGGUGCAGCAACGCCGCGUGCGGGAUGACGGCCUUCGGGUUGUAAACCGCUUUCGCCUGUGACGAAGCGUGAGUGACGGUAAUGGGUAAAGAAGCACCGGCUAACUACGUGCCAGCAGCCGCGGUGAUACGUAGGGUGCGAGCGUUGUCCGGAUUUAUUGGGCGUAAAGGGCUCGUAGGUGGUUGAUCGCGUCGGAAGUGUAAUCUUGGGGCUUAACCCUGAGCGUGCUUUCGAUACGGGUUGACUUGAGGAAGGUAGGGGAGAAUGGAAUUCCUGGUGGAGCGGUGGAAUGCGCAGAUAUCAGAAGGAACACCAGUGGCGAAGGCGGUUCUCUGGGCCUUUCCUGACGCUGAGGAGCGAAAGCGUGGGGAGCGAACAGGCUUAGAUACCCUGGUAGUCCACGCUGUAAACGGUGGGUACUAGGUGUGGGGUCCAUUCCACGGGUUCCGUGCCGUAGCUAACGCUUUAAGUACCCCGCCUGGGGAGUACGGCCGCAAGGCUAAAACUCAAAGGAAUUGACGGGGCCCCGCACAAGCGGCGGAGCAUGCGGAUUAAUUCGAUGCAACGCGUAGAACCUUACCUGGGUUUGACAUGGAUCGGGAGUGCUCAGAGAUGGGUGUGCCUCUUUUGGGGUCGGUUCACAGGUGGUGCAUGGCUGUCGUCAGCUCGUGUCGUGAGAUGUUGGGUUAAGUCCCGCAACGAGCGCAACCCUUGUUCACUGUUGCCAGCACGUUAUGGUGGGGACUCAGUGGAGACCGCCGGGGUCAACUCGGAGGAAGGUGGGGAUGACGUCAAGUCAUCAUGCCCCUUAUGUCCAGGGCCUCACGCAUGCUACAAUGGCUGGUACAGAGAGUGGCGAGCCUGUGAGGGUGAGCGAAUCUCGGAAAGCCGGUCUCAGUUCGGAUUGGGGUCUGCAACUCGACCUCAUGAAGUCGGAGUCGCUAGUAAUCGCAGAUCAGCAACGCUGCGGUGAAUACGUUCCCGGG
This 1343-nucleotide ribosomal RNA is filed under the name uncultured bacterium. Its description in RNAcentral is "16S ribosomal RNA". It matches the Rfam family "Bacterial small subunit ribosomal RNA", at positions 28 to 1378 of the family's 1533-position model. The record is from RNAcentral.